This 424-nucleotide long non-coding RNA is filed under the name Homo sapiens (human). Its description in RNAcentral is "HSALNT0318516". Lineage: Eukaryota; Metazoa; Chordata; Mammalia; Primates; Hominidae. The record is from RNAcentral.
AAGCUUGUAUACAGGAAUCCACAUGUAAAGCUACAGAUUUCUCACUUCCUCACAGGACGUGUGGGAUCAUCUCCCAGAUGAACUACCAGUUCCUAAGUAUUUGUCUGAAGGUACGCUCUUUUGAAAAUCAAAACUAAGACCAGUUUGGACCCAGGACAUAACAGAGACCAUGGUCUGGCUUUAAACGGGCCGCUUUAAAUGAUUGUAUAUCUAGAAAACCCCAUUGUUUCAGCCCAAAAUCUCCUUAAGCUGAUAAGCAACUUCAGCAAAGUCUCAGGUACAAAAUCAAUGUACAAAAAUCACAAGCAUUCUUAAUACACCAAUAACAGACAAACAGAGAGCCAAAUCAUGAGUGAAUUCCCAUUCACAAUUGCUUCAAAGAGAAUAAAAUACCUAGGAAUCCACCUUACAAGGGACGUGAAGG